Molecule: long non-coding RNA, 536 nt
Organism: Mauremys reevesii (Reeves's turtle)
Lineage: Eukaryota; Metazoa; Chordata; Testudines; Geoemydidae
Exons: 3
Source: RefSeq, a predicted model, not a curated record
UUCUUUCCCAGUGAAUUGUGGGAGAAUUUUUCUGUCCUUCCGGGCACCCAGAGGGAAGGCAUUGGAUGACUAGCAGCACUUGAGUGAGUUAGCCUGCAUCCUCCCUGCAAAGUGGGUGAAUUAUCAGCCAGAGUGAAUGUGGAUCUUGGGCUCUAACCCACACCCCCAGCCAGGUGGAACUAGCCUAGGCUGAAAGCACCACCCAACUCAGACUGAAAACUCUUUGGAGUGUGGAUCGUCUUUUUGUUCAGUGUUUGUACAGGAUGUGGUAUGCUGUGGGACCAGGACCAUGACUGGGGAUCUGACCUAGGCACUACUGCAAUAGAAGUAAUAAAAUGCUAACAGAUGGGCCCAACAGUGAAUAUAAAGACUAUAACUCAGUGAAGGAACAUUCCUGGCAUCCUAAUAUCAAAAGCUUAACUCCAGAUGUUUAGAAAAUGCAGCAGAACUCCAGGAGAGGAGGCAGCCACGUCUGCUUUCCAAGUCUUCAACGUAUAAGGAGAUUGAUUUGAUGCUCAUUAAGCUCCUAGAGGCCU